Molecule: ribosomal RNA, 253 nt
Filed under: uncultured bacterium
Lineage: Bacteria
Description: partial 16S ribosomal RNA
Rfam family: Bacterial small subunit ribosomal RNA
Source: RNAcentral
UACGUAGGGUGCGAGCGUUAAUCGGAAUUACUGGGCGUAAAGCGUGCGCAGGCGGUUUUGUAAGCCAGAUGUGAAAUCCCCGGGCUUAACCUGGGAAUGGCAUUUGGGACUGCAAGGCUGGAGUGUGGCAGAGGAGACUGGAAUUCCUGGUGUAGCAGUGAAAUGCGUAGAUAUCAGGAGGAACACCAGUGGCGAAGGCGCCGCUCUGGGCCGUGACUGACGCUGAGGAGCGAAAGCGUGGGUAGCAAACAGG